This is a long non-coding RNA of Tripterygium wilfordii, 1641 nucleotides long. RefSeq lists it as uncharacterized. The record is from RefSeq and is a predicted model, not a curated record. Lineage: Eukaryota; Viridiplantae; Streptophyta; Magnoliopsida; Celastrales; Celastraceae. The transcript has 3 exons.
UUCCCCGCAGCCCAUUUUGCCACGCACCCGCUAGUUUCUUCUUCAAGCUUGCUUCGUCUGCGAUUCAACUCUCAUACCCUUAUGCUUCUUUAGCGCCGUAUCGAAGUUCGUUUAACAAGCCGAUUGGAGGGGCCUGCCAUGAUUCUACCUGAUUGAUGUUUGAUUCUCCUUUUUGUCCCAUUCAUUUUAAAUGUUUACUCUCCAUUAUGCAAAACCCUAUUUCUCUGUAUCCACACAUGAUUUGAGCAAUUUAGGGCAUGAAGUUUAAAUCUGUGACUCUCUUUUUGUGGAAUUUUCGGGCACUGUCAAGGAUUUGUGAUGAUUAACCCCACAUUGCGAAAGCCUGAUCCUCUAGGGUUUUUGGAGUUCAGAGGCAAUAUUCGAUUGGCGCGAAAAGGGAAUCUAAUACAAACGGCCGUUUAGAUGCCAGUCAAAGCGCACAUACCUCAUCCAAGGUAGUGGUUGACUUAGGAAAAACUCAGCUCAUCCAAGCAGCCGUGCUGUUACAUCCUUCAUUGGCUACUGAAGAUGAUAUCAUCUGUGAGAAGCAAUAGCUUCCCGCUGUUAAUUCUGCUUUAUUGGUUUGCGUUAUCUGUUUUCUUUUAACCUAAUGACAAAUCCAGAUGACACCACCUUAAAAAACUACUCGGAAAGUGCCCAACUUGCUUACUUCGUUUUCUUUUUAUUGCCAUCGAAGAGCUAUCUUUAUGAACCUGAAAACAUGUCAUCUCUCCUUACUGAAAUAGUGUUUUGUAAUAUCAAAUGAUUCUAUCGCCUAAGGUAGCUAGAAAAUGUCUACCUGAAAGUUCCAUGUACCGCAAUCCUCAGGAUUUAUUGGUCUCUUUUUGUGGAGGCCUGGAGGGAAGGAAAGAAGAAUGUUAGGGGCUCAGUGCUGUUCAAACCCACCAAAACUUUAACCCAAGCAGUGGUGCAGGGAUUGUCAGAGAAACAAUUUGAAGAGGUUUUAGCAGCCAAAAAUUAGGUUGGAAGUGCAGGCACAUGAGGGAUGACUUGUCCAUUGUUGUUUGUCUGUGUGGUGACUGUUUCAUGGCCUCUAAACACCACUCAAAUAUGCUGUGAGAGGGGACCCUACACCAAACCCCACUAAACAACAAACAAAUAUGUGAUAUCUAUUUGGACAAUUCAGGAUUACAUUUGUAUUUAAUUAGUCAACAAGGGUUUGCUGGAUGAUGAGGGUCAAGUAAUUUGGACUUAUCACAUUAUUGUUGAGAUUUUUUUGGUUCAUGAAGGCUGGAAGGGUGGAAGCUGCUUCGAAGUUCAAAGGCAAGUGGUGGUGGAGUUGUCUUACAGCUCAAACAUAAGCUGUUCUAGACUUCUAGUGGGACUGACUGUCAAAUCGUCCAGCGGUGAGGAUAUCAGUUUCUGAUCAACGAUUAGGACAGAAUCUCUCUCUUUUAAAAGUUGUAAUAAGUUCCACUUUCUAUCCGAGAUUGAGAAUAUCAGAUUUUCCUGUACUUUCUAAGUUGUAUGUGGUUCGCAUAGUAUUGGAAGGGUGGGUGGCAUGAAUUUAUAUUUCUUGUGUGCAGAAGAUGCAUGGUGAGGGUUGUUUUUUUUUUUUCCUAUAUAAACUGUAUAUGGAAAAAUAGGAAAAUAAUACAAAUUGGGGUUUAGUUGGAGUGA